RNAcentral lists this unclassified non-coding RNA (150 nucleotides) under soil metagenome. Its description in RNAcentral is "partial internal transcribed spacer 1". The record is from RNAcentral.
CCGAGUUUACAACUUCCAAACCCCUGUGAACAUACCUAUUAGUUGCCUCGGCGGAUCAGCCCGCGCCCGGUAAAACGGGACGGCCCGCCAGAGGACCCCUAAACUCUGUUUCUAUAUGUGAACUUCUGAGUAAAACCAAUAAAUAAAUCA